RNAcentral lists this long non-coding RNA (3596 nucleotides) under Pectinophora gossypiella (pink bollworm). RNAcentral describes it as "uncharacterized LOC126378798". Lineage: Eukaryota; Metazoa; Arthropoda; Insecta; Lepidoptera; Gelechiidae. The record is from RNAcentral.
GGUGCUAAUUCCUGUAAAUACCAUCUAAUUUUAUUUUAAGUUAUAUCUGUCAUUUUCUUAUCCGCCGAAAAGGAAAGGGACGGGUAAUCGACAAGCAUAAAAAUGGAACACACGUCAAUUUUAAGCACAAAUCUAAAACAACCGUCUAAAAAUUCGCCCGGGUUAUUCAUUUAUUUACUCAUUCUUCCUAAAAUUAAGAGCUGUCAAUCAUCCGUCCCUUUCCUUUUCGGCGGAUAAGAAAAUGACAGGUAUAACUUAAAAUAAAAUUAGGUGUCUGCAGGAAUCGGGACCACUAAACUUUAAUUAAGCAAGCAGCAUUUUAUUAUCGACUACAAGAAAUCUGUAUUUACGCAUUGUAGAGUUAAUGCCCUAUUUCCGUCACUAGAUGGCAUUGUACCAAAAAACUUUUGACCUUUGAUGUUAGUAUUAUUGUGUUGUGAUUAUGUUGGCAGUUAUUUCCUAUUUUUGUUUAUGUUGUAUGGGGUUGGUAUUUAAUAGUGCUUUUCACAUUUUUUUUUUUCAUUAAAGUGUUUUUUCAUUACCGCUGAUUUCUGCAGACACGCUUAAAUUUAUUUUAAGUUAUACCUGUCAUUUUCUUUUCCGCCAAAAAGAAAAAGGACGGUUGAAAUGAAUGAAUAACCCGGACGAAUCCAAUAGUCAUCUCGCUAGUAUGGAACCCGUUUCACACGUGCUGUCAAUCGUAUUCUGUCGGGUUAUACGUUGACUUUUCUAAACGUGUAAUUUUGCAACUGUUUAUGAUUUCUGGCUGAAAUUGACGUAUAACGUUCGUUUCUCAUUCGCCGAAAAGGACGGGUAAUCAACAGGUAUAAAAUUUAUGGACACACGUCAAUUUUUAACAGAAAUCUCAAUAAUUUUAAUAAUUUUCCACUCGUUAAUUACCCGACAAAAUAAAGGCGACAGCAGACGUAAAACGGUUUGCAUAUCAGCGAGAUGCCUAGUUGAUUCGCCCGGGUUAUUCAUUUUAAAUUAACAGCUGUCAAUCAUCUGUCCCUUUCCUUUUUGGCGGACAAGAAAGUGACAGGUAUAACUUAAAAUAAAAUUAGGUGUCUGCAGGAAUCCGGGUCACUGUUAAAGUUGGUAAAGUUUAUUAUUUUUGGUUUAGGUGUUAAACUUUAAGGCUUAUUUAUAUUGGGCGUUUUAGAUGAAUAUUUAUCCCACUGCUGGGCAAAAGAAACGUAAAGUCACGCCCGUAAGCCCUAAUGGGGUGGGCAGAUGUGAAAUGAAAAGCAAUCUGGGUUAAAAAGGCCACAUCGCAGCAAUUGCAAACAAAUGUUAAAUAGCAAUAUUGCUUUUUUAGAUUUAUCGCUUCGAUGUGGAGUUUUUACCAGUACAGUCAUGACCAAUAUAAUGUACCCACUUUAGGACUCUGUCGCAUUAACAUAUUUGACAAUUAUUGAGAGUUACAGUUCAAUUUGUCAAAAAAGUUAAUGUGACAUGGUAUCAAAGUGUAUACAUAUUAAUGCUCGUGACCGUACACCCCUCCCGCCUUUUUAAGUGCAGCCACACUAACGAAGUUCUAAGUGUCCCGGAUGACAAGCACCACUUGGCUAGACAAAUGUGUUCACUAAUGUAUAUAAGCUAGUAGUCCUUUACCCGACUGCUAUAAAGAAGGUAUUGUAUAGAGUAGCGGCCAAGUAUCCAAAAAGUAUGUUUUUUGUAGUCCCACAGUAGACAUGAAUUGAAAUUCGUUGAAUAUUGGAAUAGUUACAACCAUUCAAAAUCAAGAACUUAGAAAAAAAAAAGGAAAUCGUGACGUCACAUGUAAAAUUAAGUGCGCAAUGAUGCUGAUUCCUGUACGGUCACGAGCAUUAAUAUGUAUACACUUUGGUACCAUGUCACAUUAACUUUUUUGACAAAUUGAACUGUAAGUCUCACUAAAUGUCAAAUAUGUUAGUGCGACAGAGUCCUAAAGUGGGUACAUUAUAUUGCUCAUGAUUGUACACACCAUCUAAUUUUAAGUUAUACCUGUCUUUUUCUUAUGCGCUGAAAAAGAAAAGGACGAGUAAUCGACAGGCAUAAAAUUUAUGGAACACAUUUUUAGGCAGGACAUUAAAAAGCCCUUCCCAAAUUUUGUAUUGGCCAAUAACCCGACAAAAUUAACUUGACAGCACACGUCAAACGGGUUGCAUAUGAGCGAGAUGCCUGUUUUAUUCGCCCGGGUUAUUAAUUUUAAAAUUAACAGUUGUCAAUCCGUACCUUUUCUUUUCGGCGGAUAAGAAAAUGACAGGUAUAACUUAAAAUAAAAUUAGGAUGUGUGCAGGAAUCGGGGUCAAUAUCAACAAAUUAAAAAAGAAACCAAUUUCAAAUAGCAAUAAGGGACUUUCCAGACAAAAUUCACAUAAAAAGGGUCAUCAUUUAUACCCAAAAAACAAAGAUGAAUGAUGCAUAUGUCUGUUAUCCUUGAAAUUAGAAGGUUAAAGAGAAAAGCUGUACAGCGCCCUCUAUGUUCUUCGUCUUAUCGUGUGCGUUAUGAGGUGGAAUACCAGACUCACUCAUCAACCCUGGUGUCAGGGUUAUGAUUGAGCCGCCAAAUGCUCCUGACAUGGCUCAUGUAACGAUUACUCACUUACACCAAUAGUAACCGGGACCAACGGCUUAACGUGCCUUCCGAAGCACAGAUCAUCUAUAUUAAUUUUGAGGAAGGCGCCCUGCAAAGUCCCGCAUUGCUUCUAAGGGUGGUAUUAAUAAACUAAUCUCAGCUUCGAGACUGCCCUCAAGAUCAUGUCAAUGUGACAGUUCUCAUAUAAAAACAGAGACUCGAGCAUGAUCUUGAGGGCAGUCUCAGCUGAGAUUCGUUUAUAAAUACCACCCUAAGUGGCCUUUCUGGCCGCCAGGUUAGAUUGUGAUCAAACGCCAACUUAUUUAUAUUAAAAAAGUAUCGAUAGUCGAUAUUUUUACAACACUAGUGUUAAGCACUAAUGAGUCUGUACAUAAACUAGGGGGUUAAAAUGGCCACAUCGAAGCAAUUCAUCUAAGAAAGUAAUAUUGCUAUUUAAAACACAUAAUAAAGGGUUCUUACCGCGUUUAAAUGGGGAUAUGAGACUCCCGAUAUUUCGACACUGUUGCAAGUGCCAUGAUCACGGGAUGACUGAUGAGAUUGGAGUGGAGUAGGUAGAUCCAUAUUUUUUUACGGGCAGACAUAUCUGUCUACCCUCUUUCUUUGCCGCUUGUUUAUGUAUUUGAUAUCGGAAUGUUCGGAACCAUCUGAACUCGCACAAAACUCACUACGUCGAAAUAUCGCGAGUCUCAUAUCCCUAUUUCAAACGCAGUAAGAACCCGUUAUUAUGUGUUUUAAUUAUGAUAAUAACCGCGUUAACUUAAAACAAAGUAAGUGCUAUUUGACAUUUGUUUGCAUUGCGCACUUACUUUUAUAUGCGUAAAUGUCAAAUUGCAAUAUUGCUUUCUUAGAUGAAUUGCUUCUAUGUGGCCAUUUUAACCCCCCUGAACGUCUCUGGCACAUUGUAAUAACACAUUUCGUAUGUCGCGUUCAUUAUAAUUAAUUUAUUUAGAAUAAUAAUUGUAGAUAAGAUUCAUUUAUCAACCUCAAAAGCAAAAUAAAAGUUAUUGAAAAUGUU